Nematostella vectensis (starlet sea anemone) is the source of this 449-nucleotide long non-coding RNA. RefSeq lists it as uncharacterized. The record is from RefSeq and is a predicted model, not a curated record. NCBI's taxonomy places the organism in Eukaryota, Metazoa, Cnidaria, Anthozoa, Actiniaria, Edwardsiidae. The transcript has 5 exons.
GAUACUCUACGAGUAUUAUUUUUGAGUGCUCAGGGGGCUGUAUCCGCGUUGUGCAUCGAUCAGGUUAACGGCUGCAUUGUGGCAGGAAUUCAGGAAGUGAUCAGAGUUUAUGACCCUGAGACACGAAAGAUUGUGCAAAAGAAUGUUGGCCACACUGACUCAGUGCGAUGUGUGAUGCACAUUCCUGAGAGAAGUCAGUAUAUAUCAGCGUCAUGGGACAAGACUGUCAGAAUAUGAAAUGCCUUCAAAAACAGUCGUAAAAGAUCAACAAAAGAUAACAAGGAACAAUCAGAAGAUGCAAACAGUUAGGUGCAAGAUGAACAUGAACAGUGAGACCAAUGCAAGAUACUUUUUAAGAUUGUACAAAGGAAUAUUAUAUUUUAAAAUGAAAGAUGUAACAUGAAUUUUUUAAAUUCUUAGCAUUAAAGCACUCCUGAAGUCUACUAAAA